Molecule: ribosomal RNA, 301 nt
Filed under: uncultured bacterium
Lineage: Bacteria
Description: partial 16S ribosomal RNA
Rfam family: Bacterial small subunit ribosomal RNA
Source: RNAcentral
CAGCAGCCGCGGGAAUACGUAGGUCCCGAGCGUUGUCCGGAUUUAUUGGGCGUAAAGGGAGCGCAGGCGGUUUAGUAAGUCUGAAGUUAAAGGCAUUGGCUCAACCAAUGUAUGCUUUGGAAACUGUUAGACUUGAGUGCAGAAGGGGAGAGUGGAAUUCCAUGUGUAGCGGUGAAAUGCGUAGAUAUAUGGAGGAACACCGGUGGCGAAAGCGGCUCUCUGGUCUGUCACUGACGCUGAGGCUCGAAAGCGUGGGUAGCGAACAGGAUUAGAGACCCCAGUAGUCCCUGUCUCUUAUACA